RNAcentral lists this ribosomal RNA (694 nucleotides) under Nocardia sp. P3726. Its description in RNAcentral is "bacterial SSU rRNA". It matches the Rfam family "Bacterial small subunit ribosomal RNA", at positions 24 to 734 of the family's 1533-position model. Lineage: Bacteria; Bacillati; Actinomycetota; Actinomycetes; Mycobacteriales; Nocardiaceae. The record is from RNAcentral.
UCACCACGAACGCUGGCGGCGUGCUUAACACAUGCAAGUCGAGCGGUAAGGCCCUUCGGGGUACACGAGCGGCGAACGGGUGAGUAACACGUGAGCAAUCUGCCCUUCACUCUGGGAUAACCCUCGGAAACGGGAGCUAAUACCGGAUAUGACCACUUCACGCAUGUGAUGGUGGUGGAAAGUUCUGGCGGUGGAGGAUGAGCUCGCGGCCUAUCAGCUUGUUGGUGAGGUAAUGGCUCACCAAGGCUUCGACGGGUAGCCGGCCUGAGAGGGUGACCGGCCACACUGGGACUGAGACACGGCCCAGACUCCUACGGGAGGCAGCAGUGGGGAAUAUUGGACAAUGGGCGAAAGCCUGAUCCAGCAACGCCGCGUGAGGGAUGACGGCCUUCGGGUUGUAAACCUCUUUCAGCAGGGACGAAGCGCAAGUGACGGUACCUGCAGAAGAAGCACCGGCCAACUACGUGCCAGCAGCCGCGGUAAUACGUAGGGUGCGAGCGUUGUCCGGAAUUAUUGGGCGUAAAGGGCUCGUAGGCGGUUUGUCGCGUCGGGAGUGAAAACUCAGGGCUUAACCCUGAGCCUGCUUCCGAUACGGGCAGACUAGAGGUAUGCAGGGGAGAACGGAAUUCCUGGUGUAGCGGUGAAAUGCGCAGAUAUCAGGAGGAACACCGGUGGCGAAGGCGGUUCUCUGGGC